GAUCCUGGCUCAGGAUGAACGCUGGCGGCGUGCUUAACACAUGCAAGUCGAGCGAAGCAGUUAAGUUGAUUUCUUUGGAUUGAUUCUUGGCUGACUGAGCGGCGGACGGGUGAGUAACGCGUGGGUGACCUGCCCCAUACCGGGGGAUAACAGCUGGAAACGGCUGCUAAUACCGCAUAAGCGCACAGGGCUGCAUGGCUCCGUGUGAAAAACUCCGGUGGUAUGGGAUGGGCCCGCG
RNAcentral lists this ribosomal RNA (238 nucleotides) under uncultured bacterium. Its description in RNAcentral is "partial 16S ribosomal RNA". It matches the Rfam family "Bacterial small subunit ribosomal RNA", at positions 15 to 235 of the family's 1533-position model. The record is from RNAcentral.